This is an RNA transcript of Rosa chinensis, 1954 nucleotides long. It is a transcript of the gene named putative DNA glycosylase At3g47830, with no coding region annotated. Lineage: Eukaryota; Viridiplantae; Streptophyta; Magnoliopsida; Rosales; Rosaceae. The record is from RefSeq and is a predicted model, not a curated record. The transcript is spliced from 9 exons.
CUCGGUCUCUCUUGUCUCAAUUUCAUGCUCUCUUCUUCUUCAAUCUCAUCACCCCCUUUCAAACCCUAACCCUAAAAUCUUCCUCCCCCAGCAAUGGCCUCCUCCCCCGACCACAACCACACCCUGAACGGCGAUUCCAACACCCACGCCUCCAAAAAGCCCAAACUCUCCUUCAUCACUCCCUCCGAAAUCGCCGCCGAAUUCUCCCACCACGACCCCACCGUCGCCCGAAUCAACAACGGCAGCUUCGGGUUCUGCCCUGACUCCGUCCUCCAGGCCCAGCGCCGCUGGUAGCUCAAGUACCUCUCCCAGCCCGAUCACUUCUACUUCAACCACCUCCAAGCCGGGCAUCAUCCACUCCCGCACCCUCAUCAAGGACCUCAUCAACGCCGACCACGUCGACGAGGUCUCCAACACAGUCAACGCCACCACCGCCACCGCCAUCGUCCUCCAGCAGGCCGCCUGGGGCUUCUCCGAGAGCAAGUUCAAGCAGGGACGUAGAGUAGUUGUACCAAAAAUGCCGCUUGGGGAAAGAGCAGGUGACAAAAGUGAGUCUCGCUACUGCGGCGUGGAGACGGAGUUCAGCGAUGACAUGCCCAACGUCCUCGCCUUCAAUCUCACCCAUGGCUCCUUCGACUUCGUCGUCGCUACUCUGAUUUCAUCAUUUGAAGUUGUACUAAGAAGAUGAAUCUGGUCCUAUAUUGACCAAGAAACCUGUGGUCAUGGAAUCCUAUGAUGAGAUUUUGUUCCCUGAGCCUUCAGAGAGUUUUUUAGCUCGUGUCCAGAAUCACCCUGCUAAAGCCUCCCCCAAAUUACCUGCUGUGCCAGUUGAAGAUCUAAGUAAAAGAAAGAGAGGUGACACAAAAGAUCAUCCCCUGACCCAGUGGUUCAUGAAUGUUUCAGAAGCUAAUGAACUUCUACAACUGGCUGUGGCUCAUCAGCAGAUGAGCAUUUCUCUCUCUGAAAUUUCUGGAUAUAUAUGAAUCUUUUGCCAUGAAUGCAUGUUAGUGCCUAUGAUUCACAUUUUUUUUUUGAGAGAGUUCUUGGGGAGAAUGGCAUAUAUAGGUGCUUUGAAACACAAACAUGGAGCUUGUGCAGCUAUGCUAAAUCCGUCAUCAGCUGAGCCUCUGGUGUGGCCAUCACCUUUGAAGUUUAUUAGUGAGCUUAAUGAGGAGGCAAAAGCUUUGUUAGAACAGGCCUUAACGGAGGCAAACAAGGAGAGGGAGAAGAAUAUCUUGAAAGGAAGCGGUUUCUCUCUUGCAUCUCCAUCGCAUUCUGAUGUGCAUUCUGAUAUAGGGAUGGAUGACAAUCUUUCUGAGACCUAUGAGUGAACGUGAUGAUAUAUUGCUGUGAGACCCCAAAUUUCAGAGUUUUGGGAGAAAAAGGAGGGUAUUGUUACAGUUGGCAUUGGUGGUCCAAACGGUUCUGGUAAAACAUGGUUGGGGUUUCUUUGCUUCACUUUAUCAAAGGAAAUGAAAGACCAAGGCUUUUGAAUAGAAGAUGAGUAGAUACUUAAAGCCUUGAAGGUGUUUGAGAUUGCAAAGGCUAUGGCUUGGGUUCCAGUUGGAGCAGACAGGAAUAAGACAUAUCUUCAUCUUAACCAAUGGAUACCAGAUGAACUUAAAUUUGAUCUGAACUGCCUUCUAUAUACACAUGGUAAGCUCUACCGCAAGUGCAUCAAGAAAGGAGGUAGCACUGGUAAGCAGCAAGAAAAGGAAUACAAGGAUAUCAAUUCCAAUUUCAUGUAUGCAAUCUGCAAUGAAGUCGUGUAAUCAACACUAGUACAUCAUGGACUAGUUAUUAGCCAUGAUGCAGUUUUCUCUGCAUCUACAACUUUGAUUUCCAUUUGAAUGGGUAGAAUUAGAAACAGUUCUGUUAUCUCAGUGAAUUACGGAGGCCAAUCGACUUUUAUAUAUGUUAAUAUUUGCUUACAGCAUCAAUUAUUGAAUUGUAU